CGGGAUGUAGCACAGUUGGCAGCGCGCCACGUUCGGGACGUGGAGGUCGGACGUUCGAGUCGUCUCAUCCCGAC
RNAcentral lists this transfer RNA (74 nucleotides) under Indolivaga capnocytophagoides. Its description in RNAcentral is "Dysgonomonas capnocytophagoides tRNA-Pro". It matches the Rfam family "tRNA". Rfam says of the family: Transfer RNA (tRNA) molecules are approximately 80 nucleotides in length. Their secondary structure includes four short double-helical elements and three loops (D, anti-codon, and T loops). Further hydrogen bonds mediate the characteristic L-shaped molecular structure. tRNAs have two regions of fundamental functional importance: the anti-codon, which is responsible for specific mRNA codon recognition, and the 3' end, to which the tRNAs corresponding amino acid is attached (by aminoacyl-tRNA synthetases). tRNAs cope with the degeneracy of the genetic code in two manners: having more than one tRNA (with a specific anti-codon) for a particular amino acid; and 'wobble' base-pairing, i.e. permitting non-standard base-pairing at the 3rd anti-codon position. The record is from RNAcentral. Lineage: Bacteria; Pseudomonadati; Bacteroidota; Bacteroidia; Bacteroidales; Dysgonomonadaceae.